This 305-nucleotide ribosomal RNA is filed under the name uncultured bacterium. RNAcentral's name for it is "bacterial SSU rRNA". It matches the Rfam family "Bacterial small subunit ribosomal RNA", at positions 337 to 639 of the family's 1533-position model. The record is from RNAcentral.
CCCUACGGGACGCAGCGGUGAGGAAUAUUGGUCAAUGGCCGAGAGGCUGAACCAGCCAAGUCGCGUGAGGGAAGACGGCCCUACGGGUUGUAAACCCCUUUUGUCGGGGAGCAAAGCGAACCACGUGUGGUUCAUUGAGAGUACCCGAAGAAAAAGCAUCGGCUAACUCCGUGCCAGCAGCCGCGGUAAUACGGAGGAUGCGAGCGUUAUCCGGAUUUAUUGGGUUUAAAGGGUGCGCAGGCGGAGGUGCAAGUCAGCGGUCAAAUUGAGGGGUUCAACCCCUUCCCGCCAUUGAAACUGGCGUU